AUCCAGCUGACGAGUCCAAAAAUAGGAUGAAACGCGCGAUCUAGAU
Molecule: non-coding RNA, 46 nt
Filed under: Schistosoma margrebowiei
Lineage: Eukaryota; Metazoa; Platyhelminthes; Trematoda; Strigeidida; Schistosomatidae
Source: RNAcentral